This 402-nucleotide ribosomal RNA is filed under the name uncultured bacterium. Its description in RNAcentral is "bacterial SSU rRNA". It matches the Rfam family "Bacterial small subunit ribosomal RNA", at positions 355 to 774 of the family's 1533-position model. The record is from RNAcentral.
UGGGGAAUCUUGCACAAUGGGGGCAACCCUGAUGCAGCGACGCCGCGUGAGCGAUGAAGCCCUUCGGGGCGUAAAGCUCUUUCGCCCGCGAAGAUAAUGACGGUAGCGGGAGAAGAAGCCCCGGCUAACUCCGUGCCAGCAGCCGCGGUAAUACGGAGGGGGCUAGCGUUGUUCGGAAUUACUGGGCGUAAAGCGUACGUAGGCGGAUGCGCAAGUUGGGGGUGAAAUCCCGGGGCUUAACCUCGGAAUUGCCCUCAAAACUGCACGUCUUGAGACCGAGAGAGGUAAGGGGAAUUCCUAGUGUAGAGGUGAAAUUCGUAGAUAUUAGGAAGAACACCAGUGGCGAAGGCGCCUUACUGACUCGGUACUGACGCCGAGGUACGAAAGCGUGGGGAGCAAACA